GCCCCGCAAGGGGAGUGGCAGACGGGUGAGUAACGCGUGGGAACCUACCCAGUGGUACGGAACAACCCAGGGAAACUUGGGCUAAUACCGUAUACGCCCUCAGGGGGAAAGAUUUAUCGCCAUUGGACGGGCCCGCGUUGGAUUAGCUAGUUGGUGGGGUAAUGGCCUACCAAGGCGACGAUCCAUAGCUGGUCUGAGAGGAUGAUCAGCCACACUGGAACUGAGACACGGUCCAGACUCCUACGGGAGGCAGCAGUGGGGAAUAUUGGACAAUGGGCGCAAGCCUGAUCCAGCAAUGCCGCGUGUGUGAAGAAGGCCUUCGGGUUGUAAAG
This 332-nucleotide ribosomal RNA is filed under the name uncultured bacterium. Its description in RNAcentral is "bacterial SSU rRNA". It matches the Rfam family "Bacterial small subunit ribosomal RNA", at positions 81 to 430 of the family's 1533-position model. The record is from RNAcentral.